RNAcentral lists this ribosomal RNA (406 nucleotides) under uncultured bacterium. RNAcentral describes it as "partial 16S ribosomal RNA". It matches the Rfam family "Bacterial small subunit ribosomal RNA", at positions 30 to 526 of the family's 1533-position model. The record is from RNAcentral.
AUUGAACGCUGGCGGCAUGCUUUACACAUGCAAGUCGGACGAGUGGCGAACGGGUGAGUAACGCAUCGGAACGUACCUAGUAAUGGGGGAUAACUGUCCGAACGGACAGCUAAUACCGCAUAUUAUUCGUUCGGCCGUUGUUGGAUUAGCUGGUUGGGGUGGUAAAGGCCCACCAAGGCGACGAUGAUUAGCGGGUCUGAGAGGAUGAUCGGCCAGACUGGGACUGAGACACGGCCCAGACUCCUACGGGAGGCAGCAGUGGGGAAUUUUGGACAAUGGACGAAAGGCUGAUCGAGCCAUGCCGCGUGUCUGAAGAAGGCUUUCGGAUUGUAAAGCACUUUUGUCAGGGAAGCGGUACCUGACCAGUAAGCAACGGCUAACUACGUGCCAGCAGCCGCGGUAAUAC